This 1803-nucleotide ribosomal RNA is filed under the name Triticum aestivum (bread wheat). RNAcentral describes it as "partial small subunit ribosomal RNA". Lineage: Eukaryota; Viridiplantae; Streptophyta; Magnoliopsida; Poales; Poaceae. The record is from RNAcentral.
AUGGUAGAUCCCAUGCACUUUGAGAGCUCCAUGCCUCCAAAACCUAACCUUAUCAAUGAGGUGGUCAACUCUCAUGAACUGGUUAAACCUCUAGUUGAAGCUUUUACUGUGGAAGCUGCUCAAUUGGAGGCCACUCUACCUGUGCUACAAAACCAAGUUGCUCCUAUUAUCAGCAGGGAGGAUAUCAACCCAACUAUGCAAUCUCACCCCCCUGUUACCAAUCAGCACAAUGAUUAUUCAGCUCACAUGAUGCUUACUCAAUCAGAUCCCAUGAAUUAUGCUGAAGGGCAAGGUGAAUCCUCUUCUUCUGAUGUUUCUGCCCCUCCAGGUUUUCCUAUUCCUAUGUUUAAAUCUGAUCACUUGAUUAUCUCAGAGACAGGCCUACCCUCUCCCACUGUCCAUGAGAUUGCCAUUGGUACUGCUGAGAAGUACCUUGGAAAGGAAGGAGCUCAAAUAUGGUCCAAACAUUUUGCACCUACAGCUACCAGUAAGGACAUCAUUCAGGUACCAGUUGACUGGGUUAAUUUCCUGUCUGUUACUUUCCUUUCUCCUGGGAAGUACGAAUGGGCCAAACAGUUCAUUACUUCCAAAGUUUGGGAUAUUAUCUCUCAAAGCAAGAAGGAGGAGCUCUGUCUACCUUUUGCCUUGCCAAACUCAUGCCCUGACAGCUCUACUCUCUCUGGUAUCUUGGUAACUUCUCAGGAUCAGGAGAAUACACCUAGUGUGUUGUGUGGCUCACAGGAUAUCAUGUCAUCAUCCACCUCUGCUAUUCAUCACAACAGGAAGAGGAAGGACAAGGGGCCACUGGUGGAGACAGAGGUCAAUGCCCAAGAUACUACAGAAGAGAAGCUUACCACUAAGAUCAAGAAACCCAAGGUUGCUGCCAAGGCAAAGGAGGGACAAGCAAAUCCAAGGAGGGGGCCAACAUGUCCAAGGAAGGGACCAUUAGUGCGAAGAGCGGGCACUUUGGUUUCUAUGGAUCAGACUAAAUGUAUGAGAUUCCAGUAUGUUUGCAAGGCCCAUUCUGGUGGCACCACUUUACUUUGGUCUGAUAACUGGUGGGAUCAACCACUUCGAUCCAAAUUCCCUGAACUGCACUCUUAUACCAGGAAUGAAUAUGUUACCCUGAAGACUGCUAUGGAAGAACCAGACCUGUCUGAACUCUUCCACACUCCUCUGUCUGAACAAGCCUUCCAGCAAUAUACUCUGCUAAUCCAGCACCUACAACACCGACCACAAUCCAAUAACCCCGAUGAAUGGCAAGUACUGGGAGCCCCCAAAGGAUACUCUUCCAUCAAGAUGUAUCAUCAUAUGUGUGGACCCAGCUUGCACACUUGCUGCCGCGCCGAGCACCGGAAUAGUUCACGAGGCCACCGGGUGCAUCUCCGUGCCGUGCCGUGUCCCCGGCAAGAACGUGACCCGCGCAGGCGCAGCGAUGGAUCGAUCGGAGCCCGGCGGCCAGGCGGAGUAGCCUACUGUUGGGCCGCGCGGCUGUGGCCUCUGCCUGCGGCUUGUGUCGGGCGGUCGGAGAAGACGAGAAGUGCAUGCUUCGGCCGCCGACAGGGCGCCGCCGUUUGUGACACGCUUGUCCGGGCACUGUGGACUGAUGGUUUCGUUCUGCCGCCGUCUCUGUUCGCAGGGGACAUGCGGGCGGCUGCUGUUUCCCGAUCCAAAAGCCUGGGAGGUUUCCGUGUGCCGGUGCCGUUCCAUAAUUUCGUCGCGCUUUUACUCAUUUUUGCCCGUUCCGUAUCGCGCCACUGCAUAUGCAUGCUAGCCAAGGCCAAGCCACAGGCCUACAAUUAA